This 254-nucleotide ribosomal RNA is filed under the name uncultured bacterium. Its description in RNAcentral is "partial 16S ribosomal RNA". It matches the Rfam family "Bacterial small subunit ribosomal RNA", at positions 524 to 776 of the family's 1533-position model. The record is from RNAcentral.
UACAGAGACUGCAAGCGUUAUUCGGAUUCACUGGGCGUAAAGGGUGCGCAGGCGGUCGGGUGUGUCAGAUGUGAAAUCCCGAGGCUCAACCUCGGAACUGCGUCUGAAACUACUCGACUAGAGUACUGGAGAGGGUAACGGAAUUCCUGGUGUAGCGGUGAAAUGCGCAGAUAUCAGGAGGAACACCGGCUGGCGAAGGCGGUUCUCUGGGAAUAUCCUGACGCUGAGGAGCGAAAGUGUGGGGAGCGAACAGG